This 851-nucleotide ribosomal RNA is filed under the name Pseudomonas putida. Its description in RNAcentral is "bacterial SSU rRNA". It matches the Rfam family "Bacterial small subunit ribosomal RNA", at positions 37 to 873 of the family's 1533-position model. Lineage: Bacteria; Pseudomonadati; Pseudomonadota; Gammaproteobacteria; Pseudomonadales; Pseudomonadaceae. The record is from RNAcentral.
UGGCGGCAGGCCUAACACAUGCAAGUCGAGCGGAUGAGAAGAGCUUGCUCUUCGAUUCAGCGGCGGACGGGUGAGUAAUGCCUAGGAAUCUGCCUGGUAGUGGGGGACAACGUUUCGAAAGGAACGCUAAUACCGCAUACGUCCUACGGGAGAAAGCAGGGGACCUUCGGGCCUUGCGCUAUCAGAUGAGCCUAGGUCGGAUUAGCUAGUUGGUGAGGUAAUGGCUCACCAAGGCGACGAUCCGUAACUGGUCUGAGAGGAUGAUCAGUCACACUGGAACUGAGACACGGUCCAGACUCCUACGGGAGGCAGCAGUGGGGAAUAUUGGACAAUGGGCGAAAGCCUGAUCCAGCCAUGCCGCGUGUGUGAAGAAGGUCUUCGGAUUGUAAAGCACUUUAAGUUGGGAGGAAGGGCAUUAACCUAAUACGUUAGUGUUUUGACGUUACCGACAGAAUAAGCACCGGCUAACUCUGUGCCAGCAGCCGCGGUAAUACAGAGGGUGCAAGCGUUAAUCGGAAUUACUGGGCGUAAAGCGCGCGUAGGUGGUUUGUUAAGUUGGAUGUGAAAGCCCCGGGCUCAACCUGGGAACUGCAUCCAAAACUGGCAAGCUAGAGUACGGUAGAGGGUGGUGGAAUUUCCUGUGUAGCGGUGAAAUGCGUAGAUAUAGGAAGGAACACCAGUGGCGAAGGCGACCACCUGGACUGAUACUGACACUGAGGUGCGAAAGCGUGGGGAGCAAACAGGAUUAGAUACCCUGGUAGUCCACGCCGUAAACGAUGUCAACUAGCCGUUGGAAUCCUUGAGAUUUUAGUGGCGCAGCUAACGCAUUAAGUGACCGCCCUGGGAUCCCC